UCACCCCUCAAGCCCCGUGCUUGGUGUUGGACGGCCUGGUCGGUUGAAAACGACCCCUCCUAAAGAUAAUGACGGCGGCCCGUGGAGCCCCCGGUACACUGAGCUUUUAACUGAGCACGUAUCGGACGAGGGCGCCCGGACCCCGGUCUUUCUCCCUCAGGGGAACUUUCUAAG
This 174-nucleotide unclassified non-coding RNA is filed under the name uncultured Chaetothyriales. RNAcentral's name for it is "sequence contains ITS2". The record is from RNAcentral. Lineage: Eukaryota; Fungi; Ascomycota; Eurotiomycetes; Chaetothyriales.